This 1349-nucleotide long non-coding RNA is filed under the name Homo sapiens (human). Its description in RNAcentral is "HSALNT0406347". Lineage: Eukaryota; Metazoa; Chordata; Mammalia; Primates; Hominidae. The record is from RNAcentral.
CGGAGAGGCCCCUCAAGUCCACCACAUCAUAGGCGACCACUGUUGUUUCCAUGACACUGGGAACCUGGACCACCUAGAACUGCCUCCUUCCAAGCGACACUGGGGCUGGCUCCCCAUCUGAGCCGUCUGGAGACCCUGUGGCUGGCAGGCGACGCCGUCCCCCCGCCCAGGGCCAAGGGGGAGCAGGGCUGUGGAGAGCAUGACCCCCUUGUUAAACCACGUCUGCCUUUAUGCCUCGAUACACCACACAGAGAGAUGACGGGAGAUACCACCAAGAUGAGAUGCCAACCCGGGAGAGGCUCUGCAGGUCCCCUGGUGCCCACGUCUACCUGGCUUGUCCCCACAGGUGGGUUUUCUGAGACAAGGGGGCUUUUGGACACAGGUCUGUCCCCAGAGCCAGCCAGCAGCUCCAGAGAAGAGACAGCAGGUGCCCAGGACGAUGCGGCUUAGUUGCCAGGUUGCCACGAAACAUCCAAUAUUUGAAAGUGUUCUAUGGACCUCAAAGGGCAAGAGACACCUUAAAAUGUUUGCUGGAUGGCUGUAGGAGGGUAGAGCCCUGGUGGGCACACCUGGUGAGGCUCUGCUGCUCAUGUUCAUGGAGUCCCACGUCCACCAGGCCCUUUGAAUCUCGAGUUUCUGGCUUCAGAUGCCCCCAGGUUUCCAGAAGUCAAGAUUUCUAACAAAUGGACCCAAACCCCAAGCCAGCACCUGGAAGUGGCAGCAACACGGCUGUGUGGACCCCGGUGCUGGGAACCUUCUGGAGGCAGCUGGACACAGGGGCUGCCAGUGUGGAGAGGGACGCUGCUCAUUUUGACAUUUCAUCUGAAUAACGUUCCAAGUGUUCUAAUGAAAGCCUCUGCGCUCCCUUUGAAAUACUAGCAAUUACAAAGAUGAAUAAUUGCAUGAUAAAUAUUAAUUUGCACCAUCGUAAUGAGGCCCAGAAGCAUCCUGCUGCUAACUGAGUAAGUGUGGCCAUCACACCCCACCCUCAGGAAGGAGGAAAAAGUGGCAGCUUGCAGCAGAGAUGGAACAUCCCCAAACCACAGUGACAGCACAAAGGGCUGCCUGUCUGGUUCCAGUCCCCCAAGUAAAGGACACCUGGAGUCUUCGCAGAGGCCGCUGCUUCCCCUAACGGCCCUGCCUUUUGGCGCUGAGUGUCUGCAGACCUUUGGCAACCUUUGCAAAUAUCAUCCUCACAGAGGAGAGCUGCACCUCUUCCAUCUUAAGCAGUGAACCCAGGAUGCUUGGCGAUCUUGGGGCUUGUUUUUUCCUCUAAACACCUGCUGUGUGUUUUAUUGGGCAAGCCGUCCUUUCUGCGUCUGGGCUCCCUUGAGUCUGCAAACCUUCUU